Long non-coding RNA from Anguilla anguilla (European eel), 438 nucleotides. RefSeq lists it as uncharacterized. The record is from RefSeq and is a predicted model, not a curated record. Lineage: Eukaryota; Metazoa; Chordata; Actinopteri; Anguilliformes; Anguillidae. The transcript is spliced from 2 exons.
AAUAGAGUAUGUGUUUGUGUGUGUGUGUGUGAGAGAGAGAGAGAGAGAGAGAGAGAGAGAGAGAAUAAGAGCCAAAAUGCAGCUGCUCUUCCCGCCGCUGGUUUAGCCACAAAUAGACUGACAGACUGGAGCAAGCAAGUCCUGAGACACCUUCAUCAAUUAAUGCCCCCAGAGCUGGGUGCCGAUUGGAUGCUGCUGACAGGUUUAAAGGCUCAAUGGAGGAAAUUCCACACCGGUUUUUGCUCAGUGGCAGCGAAAACCCCCCCUAGAAAUAAUAGGGUCGCUUGGGCAGUCGGAGGAUGUUGUACAUUACAUACCUUUAACCCGAUUGUCUGCAUAUUCAGUAAAUAAAUAAGCACAAAAUAUCUGUGGCAUUGGACGCUAAAUGUUGCUUAAAUGUCCAGCCCAAAGAAUACUAAAAUAAACUUUAUUCAAUUA